Long non-coding RNA from Ostrea edulis (European flat oyster), 1001 nucleotides. RefSeq lists it as uncharacterized. The record is from RefSeq and is a predicted model, not a curated record. NCBI's taxonomy places the organism in Eukaryota, Metazoa, Mollusca, Bivalvia, Ostreida, Ostreidae. The transcript has 2 exons.
UGCAUAACUAGGGAUCGUAUACAUACAAAAUGAGACAAAACAAUAUUUAAAUAGUUUCUAAUUAUAAGGUAUGGCACGUUUUAUGGUAUGGUGGCCAAUACUGAUUUUAUUUGCAAUUUUCUUUCAGAUAUGGGACCCUAUUAUUUGGAGAACUGCAGAUUUUAUGAAGCUGUCUUUGACAGAAGAUUUGGUUUUCUCCAUCUGUGUUGCCAUCAACCAUUAUGCUGAGAAUGAGAUGGUCAUAUCUAGGGGGAAGGGUUGCCAUAUACUUCCCAAGGAAGUUUGCAGCCUCUCACUGAAGAGGAACUGUACAGAUUUUUGUGCAUUAUCUUAUACACGCCUGCUGUGAAGUUCCAGUCGAUAGACAGAUAUUGGUCAACGCAUGCCCCUGUCGGAACAACUCAUUAUCAAGAAUUAUGUCUAGAAAUAGGUUUCAAGAGGUUAAAUAUAAGAACAUUUUUGUUAAAUAUGAUGCAAGUACAUUUAAAUCUAGUGAUUGAAAGUAAGUACUUGAACAUUCGUAUAUGUUGAACUUGGAGAGGAAAAAUGGUUAGUACUUUUUGAUAACCUUUGAUAAGGUGUUGUUGCUUAGCAACCAAAUAUAAUUGAAUAAAAAAAAUAGAUUGUUUUAGAUUAACAAUAAUUGAAAGAUCUUUGUUUUAAUGUUGCAAUACUUAUUCUAUUUAAUGGAACAUAAUGGCAAAACGUCAUAUUAUUAGAAAAUGAUGGACAAGUAUAUAAAGUACGAAGUUUCCAUUUGAUGACCUUUGACCUUAAUUCUCUUCAUCAUAUUUUUGUGAAAAACCUUUUAAAAUGAUUAAGAUCUAUUUAAAGAUUAUAUCUUUAAAAUAAUGUGACAUUUACUAAUCAUCAUGGAUUGUAAUUACGUUUAAAUUGUGUCGAAUGGAUGCAGAAAGGCAAAUUAUGGUCAAAAUUGUACUAUGAGUGUUGUUACUUAGCAACCAAAAAUAUUUGUUUGUCAAUAAAAUUGAUUAGUUUGA